This is a long non-coding RNA of Pelmatolapia mariae (spotted tilapia), 248 nucleotides long. RefSeq lists it as uncharacterized. The record is from RefSeq and is a predicted model, not a curated record. Lineage: Eukaryota; Metazoa; Chordata; Actinopteri; Cichliformes; Cichlidae. The transcript is spliced from 3 exons.
CCGACACAGCUUUGCGAUCUCGCCAGCAUGCAGAGUCUGUCUUCCCUAUAGAUGAUUCCAGAGACUCUGUGAGGCCACUAUUACAAGGUGAGACGCUUUGCGUUGAUUGGUGCUGCUGGACCACACUGGAGGUGCGAGUCCGCCGUGUAAUGGUUUAUGCCAUUACAAAGGAGCUGGCCUCUGUACUCAACUGGACAGGGGAAAAAAAACAAGGACCAGACAAAGCAAAAAAGGGCAUUUAAAGAGAC